This 761-nucleotide ribosomal RNA is filed under the name uncultured Prevotella sp. RNAcentral's name for it is "bacterial SSU rRNA". It matches the Rfam family "Bacterial small subunit ribosomal RNA", at positions 28 to 776 of the family's 1533-position model. The record is from RNAcentral. Lineage: Bacteria; Pseudomonadati; Bacteroidota; Bacteroidia; Bacteroidales; Prevotellaceae.
GAUGAACGCUGGCUACAGGCUUAACACAUGCAAGUCGAGGGGCAGCAUGGGGUUUGCUUGCAAACCCCGAUGGCGACCGGCGCACGGGUGAGUAACGCGUAUCCAACCUUCCCGCGACUCGGGUAUAACCUGCCGAAAGGCGGACUAAUCCCCGAUGUCCUCCACUUUGGACAUCUUUUGUGGAGCAAAGGCUUCGGCCGGUUGCGGAUGGGGAUGCGUCCGAUUAGCUUGUUGGCGGGGCAAUGGCCCACCAAGGCUUCGAUCGGUAGGGGUUCUGAGAGGAAGGCCCCCCACAUUGGAACUGAGACACGGUCCAAACUCCUACGGGAGGCAGCAGUGAGGAAUAUUGGUCAAUGGGCGGAAGCCUGAACCAGCCAAGUAGCGUGCAGGAUGACGGCCCUAUGGGUUGUAAACUGCUUUUAUGCGGGGAUAACCGGGGCCACGCGUGGCCCCCUGCAGGUACCGCAUGAAUAAGGACCGGCUAAUUCCGUGCCAGCAGCCGCGGUAAUACGGAAGGUCCGGGCGUUAUCCGGAUUCAUUGGGUUUAAAGGGAGCGUAGGCCGUGGAUUAAGCGUGUUGUGAAAUGUAGGCGCUCAACGUCUGACUUGCAGCGCGAACUGGUCCACUUGAGUGUGCGCGACGCAGGCGGAAUCCGUGGUGUAGCGGUGAAAUGCUUAGAUAUCACGAGGAACCCCGAUUGCGAAGGCAGCUUGCGGGAGCACCACUGACGCUGAGGCUCGAAGGUGCGGGUAUCGAACAGG